Molecule: non-coding RNA, 1704 nt
Organism: Vicugna pacos (alpaca)
Lineage: Eukaryota; Metazoa; Chordata; Mammalia; Artiodactyla; Camelidae
Source: RefSeq, a predicted model, not a curated record
CAGGGCCCCAUUCAGGCACAGGGUGUCCAGCCCUUCUGAAGGAGCAUGUGGGGAUCUCCUGCUUUGAGGAUGGUGGUUCUAACAAUCAGAAUGCUGGGAAAGGAGGGUGGGUUGGGAGGAUAGGGGGUAAUAAUAAUAAUAAUGCUUUACAUACAUCGCCCUAUUAUUAGGAUACCCAUUUUAUCGAUGAGGAAGGUGAGGUUUUAGGAGUUUGGAACAGAACUCUCUCGGCGGUUCCUCAAAAGCUCUGUUCUUAAUGACCAUGAAGCUAGAAUUGGGCAGGAGGCCCUCUGGCCACAAGGCGGAGGGCUCCCCAAGACACCAUUUCUUCUGUGGCUUCUCUCCUCUUGCUUCCCUGAGGACUUUGACCUUGACCUACCAAGGAGGAAGACCCUGGACCUAGGAACUCCAUCCCUCUGUUUGAAGCUGCUCAGGAGGCCAUGUGGUGCCAGCCGCUGGCCCUGCCCGGUGUCCCCCCACCCCUGUGCCAUGGCCGGCUGGGGUUCCUGGGGAUGGGAUUUGCUGCCUGUCACAAAUCACAUUGCCAGGGAUUUCCAACCGACCCUGAGCCCUGCCUCUGGGGCCGCUGCUGUCACUGCCACUACCGAGGACCCCGACCCAGGGAUAGGGAUGGGGAAGGGGUGGCAGAGAGGCCCCCACCACCUGCGUCUGGCCUGGGGAGCAGGGCUUAGCUGCUUGUGAGCAGGUCCACAGCAAGUGUGUUCACAGUGGCUAAGUUCCGCCCCCCACGGCCCCGCCUCCUCUGGCCCUGCCACCUCUCCCCUGGGCCUGCCUGUCCCACCACCCGGGCCUCCCUGGGCUCUGCCUCCCGUGCCUACUGAGCUGAAACACAGUUGAUUUGUGCAGACUGGCUCAGUUCAGCAGGAACAGGAGUCGAGCCCCCUUGGAGUCUGUGGCCCUUGCCUUCCCUGGGUGGGCCAGUCGCUGCCUGGGGGAAGAGAUGAGGACCCGGCCCCAGACCUGUGUCUGGAGGAAAUUGGAGAUGGGUGGGGCCUCGGAUGGGUUAACUCAGCUGUCUGCUGCAGGCCCCCUCCUCCAAUUCUGCACUUCAGAACCCCCACACAGUCCCAUCACAGGCUGGGCUGUGCUUGCAGGGAGGAUGGGGAGAUGGGCAGGUGGGUGGCCCUUCCAUGAAAAAGGGAAGCCAACAGUGCCCUGCCUUGCCGACCCUCGGCCCCUCCUCUCCCAAGGCUGGUUGGGGCACUGCUGGCCCGCACCUUCACAGCAGCCAGUUACCCAAGAGGAAGCUGCCUUGGGCCCUCAGACCGUUAAAUGCCAACUCCGGGCUUCCGGAACCAGGCUGCCUGCCCUGACCCUGCCUGGCCCCUUCUCCCUGGGCCCUGCAGCUUCCUAACUUGGAAGAGGAGCCAUGACACCCUUCUGACACAUGGGGCAGGGAAUGAGGUCCCUGUGGGCCCAGAAAGGAGAUCAGCAGGCCUGCUUUGUCCUUGGGUGGUCCCAGCGCAUAGAAGAAUUGAGACUCUGUCCUUGAUCAGAUAGAGUAGGGCUCUUUUGGGGAUGAGACUGGGGAGGCAGAGUGAAGCCCCCCAGGCUGUCAGGGUUGACCCAGUGUACACUUUCCCCAUCGGGGCAGGAGCAGACAACAGCUUGGGGUAGACUCUACGCCACAUGUUGAGCCUUUCUUUUGUCCAAUUAAAUAAAAGCUGCCUGCCUCAUUCUGAA